This 253-nucleotide ribosomal RNA is filed under the name uncultured bacterium. Its description in RNAcentral is "partial 16S ribosomal RNA". It matches the Rfam family "Bacterial small subunit ribosomal RNA", at positions 524 to 776 of the family's 1533-position model. The record is from RNAcentral.
GACGUAGGGCGCGAGCGUUGUCCGGAUUUAUUGGGCGUAAAGAGCUCGUAGGCGGCUUGUCGCGUCGUGUGUGAAAUCUCAGGGCUCAACUCUGACAUUGCAUACGAUACGGGCAGGCUUGAGUUCGGUAGGGGAGACUGGAAUUCCUGGUGUAGCGGUGAAAUGCGCAGAUAUCAGGAGGAACACCGGUGGCGAAGGCGCCACUCUGGGCCGAAACUGACGCUGAGGAGCGAAAGCGUGGGUAGCAAACAGG